RNAcentral lists this ribosomal RNA (1996 nucleotides) under Klebsiella pneumoniae CHS 23. Its description in RNAcentral is "bacterial LSU rRNA". It matches the Rfam family "Bacterial large subunit ribosomal RNA", at positions 951 to 2925 of the family's 2925-position model. The record is from RNAcentral. Lineage: Bacteria; Pseudomonadati; Pseudomonadota; Gammaproteobacteria; Enterobacterales; Enterobacteriaceae.
AAACUACGAAUACCGAAGAAUGUUAUCACGGGAGACACACGGCGGGUGCUAACGUCCGUCGUGAAGAGGGAAACAACCCAGACCGCCAGCUAAGGUCCCAAAGUCAUGGUUAAGUGGGAAACGAUGUGGGAAGGCACAGACAGCCAGGAUGUUGGCUUAGAAGCAGCCAUCAUUUAAAGAAAGCGUAAUAGCUCACUGGUCGAGUCGGCCUGCGCGGAAGAUGUAACGGGGCUAAACCAUGCACCGAAGCUGCGGCAGCGACACUAUGUGUUGUUGGGUAGGGGAGCGUUCUGUAAGCCUGCGAAGGUGUGCUGUGAGGCAUGCUGGAGGUAUCAGAAGUGCGAAUGCUGACAUAAGUAACGAUAAAGCGGGUGAAAAGCCCGCUCGCCGGAAGACCAAGGGUUCCUGUCCAACGUUAAUCGGGGCAGGGUGAGUCGACCCCUAAGGCGAGGCCGAAAGGCGUAGUCGAUGGGAAACAGGUUAAUAUUCCUGUACUUGGUGUUACUGCGAAGGGGGGACGGAGAAGGCUAUGUUAGCCGGGCGACGGUUGUCCCGGUUUAAGCAUGUAGGCUGGUUAUCCAGGCAAAUCCGGAUAACCAAGGCUGAGGUGUGAUGACGAGGCACUACGGUGCUGAAGUAACAAAUGCCCUGCUUCCAGGAAAAGCCUCUAAGCAUCAGGUAACAUCAAAUCGUACCCCAAACCGACACAGGUGGUCAGGUAGAGAAUACCAAGGCGCUUGAGAGAACUCGGGUGAAGGAACUAGGCAAAAUGGUGCCGUAACUUCGGGAGAAGGCACGCUGGUGUGUAGGUGAAGUCCCUGCGGAUGGAGCUGAGACCAGUCGAAGAUACCAGCUGGCUGCAACUGUUUAUUAAAAACACAGCACUGUGCAAACACGAAAGUGGACGUAUACGGUGUGACGCCUGCCCGGUGCCGGAAGGUUAAUUGAUGGGGUUAUCCGUAAGGAGAAGCUCUUGAUCGAAGCCCCGGUAAACGGCGGCCGUAACUAUAACGGUCCUAAGGUAGCGAAAUUCCUUGUCGGGUAAGUUCCGACCUGCACGAAUGGCGUAAUGAUGGCCAGGCUGUCUCCACCCGAGACUCAGUGAAAUUGAACUCGCUGUGAAGAUGCAGUGUACCCGCGGCAAGACGGAAAGACCCCGUGAACCUUUACUAUAGCUUGACACUGAACAUUGAGCCUUGAUGUGUAGGAUAGGUGGGAGGCUUUGAAGCGUGGACGCCAGUCUGCGUGGAGCCAACCUUGAAAUACCACCCUUUAAUGUUUGAUGUUCUAACGUUGGCCCCUGACCGGGGUUGCGGACAGUGUCUGGUGGGUAGUUUGACUGGGGCGGUCUCCUCCCAAAGCGUAACGGAGGAGCACGAAGGUUAGCUAAUCCUGGUCGGACAUCAGGAGGUUAGUGCAAUGGCAUAAGCUAGCUUGACUGCGAGCGUGACGGCGCGAGCAGGUGCGAAAGCAGGUCAUAGUGAUCCGGUGGUUCUGAAUGGAAGGGCCAUCGCUCAACGGAUAAAAGGUACUCCGGGGAUAACAGGCUGAUACCGCCCAAGAGUUCAUAUCGACGGCGGUGUUUGGCACCUCGAUGUCGGCUCAUCACAUCCUGGGGCUGAAGUAGGUCCCAAGGGUAUGGCUGUUCGCCAUUUAAAGUGGUACGCGAGCUGGGUUUAGAACGUCGUGAGACAGUUCGGUCCCUAUCUGCCGUGGGCGCUGGAGAAUUGAGGGGGGCUGCUCCUAGUACGAGAGGACCGGAGUGGACGCAUCACUGGUGUUCGGGUUGUCAUGCCAAUGGCACUGCCCGGUAGCUAAAUGCGGAAGAGAUAAGUGCUGAAAGCAUCUAAGCACGAAACUUGCCCCGAGAUGAGUUCUCCCUGAGACUAUAAGUCUCCUGAAGGAACGUUGAAGACGACGACGUUGAUAGGCCGGGUGUGUAAGCGCAGCGAUGCGUUGAGCUAACCGGUACUAAUGAACCGUGAGGCUUAACCUU